UGGGGAAUAUUGCACAAUGGGCGAAAGCCUGAUGCAGCGACGCCGCGUGAGGGAUGACGGCCUUCGGGUUGUAAACCUCUUUCAGUAGGGACGAAGCGCAAGUGACGGUACCUGCAGAAGAAGCACCGGCUAACUACGUGCCAGCAGCCGCGGUAAUACGUAGGGUGCGAGCGUUGUCCGGAAUUACUGGGCGUAAAGAGCUCGUAGGCGGUUUGUCACGUCGUCUGUGAAAUCCUAGGGCUUAACCCUGGACGUGCAGGCGAUACGGGCUGACUUGAGUACUACAGGGGAGACUGGAAUUUCUGGGGUAGCGGUGGAAUGCACAGAUAUCAGGAAGAACACCGAUGGCGAAGGCAGGUCUCUGGGUAGUAACUGACGCUGAGGAGCGAAAGCAUGGGUAGCGAACAGG
Molecule: ribosomal RNA, 409 nt
Filed under: bacterium
Lineage: Bacteria
Description: partial 16S ribosomal RNA
Rfam family: Bacterial small subunit ribosomal RNA
Source: RNAcentral